UACCGUACCGUAAACCGACACAGGUGGGUGGGGAGAACAUCCCAAGGCGCUUGAGAGAACUCGGGUUAAGGAACUCGCAAAUUGACACCGUAACUUCGGGAGAAGGUGUGCCCUUGAGGGUGAUCGGCUUCGCGCCGCGAGCCUUUGGGGGUUGCAGAGAAUCGGGGGUAGCGACUGUUUAUCAAAAACACAGGACUCUGCGAAGUCGCAAGACGACGUAUAGGGUCUGACGCCUGCCCGGUGCUGGAAGGUUAACAGGAGAUGUCAGGGCAACCGAAGCAUCGAAUCGAAGCCCCAGUAAACGGCGGCCGUAACUAUAACGGUCCUAAGGUAGCGAAAUUCCUUGGUGGGUAAGUUCCGUCCUGCACGAAUGGCGAAACGACUUCCCCACUGUCUCGACCCGGGACUCAGCGUAAUUGAAAUCGGGGUGAAGAUGCCCCGUACCCGCGGAAAGACGGAAAGACCCCGUGAACCUUUACUGCAGCUUGGCACUGGUUUUCGGAUUUGUCUGUGUAGGAUAGGUGGGAGGCUGUGAAGUGGGGCCGCUAGGUUCCACGGAGCCAACGUUGAAAUACCACCCUGACAAAUCUGAAAGCCUAACCGUGACCCGUAAGCCGGGUCCGGAACACUGCCUGGUGGGUAGUUUGACUGGGGCGGUCACCUCCGAAAAAGUAACGGAGGCGCGCAAAGGUUCCCUCAGGCUGAUUGGAAACCAGCCGUAGAGUGUAAAAGCACAAGGGAGCUUGACUGCAACUCAUACGAGAGGAGCAGGUACGAAAGUAGGCUUUAGUGAUCCGGUGGUUCUGAAUGGAAGGGCCAUCGCUCAACGGAUAAAAGGUACUCCGGGGAUAACAGGCUUAUCACGCCCAAGAGUUCACAUCGACGGCGUGGUUUGGCACCUCGAUGUCGGCUCAUCGCAUCCUGGGGCUGUAGUAGGUCCCAAGGGUUUGGCUGUUCGCCAAUUAAAGCGGUACGCGAGCUGGGUUCAAAACGUCGUGAGACAGUUUGGUCCCUAUCUUCCGUGGGCGCAGGAGUCUUGAAGUGGAUCUGUCCCUAGUACGAGAGGACCGGGAUGGACGAACCCCUGGUGUUCCGGUUGUUUUGCCAGAGGCAUUGCCGGGUAGCUAUGUUCGGAACGGAUAACCGCUGAAAGCAUCUAAGCGGGAAGCCAACCACAAGAUGAGGACUCCCUGAAGGCCCGUUGUAGACUACGACGUUGAUAGGCUGGGUGUGGAAGUGCGGCAACGCAUGGAGCUAACCAGUACUAAUUGGCCGUUUGGCUU
Molecule: ribosomal RNA, 1283 nt
Filed under: metagenome
Description: bacterial LSU rRNA
Rfam family: Bacterial large subunit ribosomal RNA
Source: RNAcentral